RNAcentral lists this ribosomal RNA (199 nucleotides) under uncultured bacterium. RNAcentral describes it as "partial 16S ribosomal RNA". It matches the Rfam family "Bacterial small subunit ribosomal RNA", at positions 328 to 539 of the family's 1533-position model. The record is from RNAcentral.
ACGCUCGACACCUACGGGAGGUAGCAGUGGGGAAUAUUGCACAAUGGGGGAAACCCGUGAUGCAGCGACGCCGCGUGAGCGAAGAAGUAUUUCGGUAUGUAAAGCUCUAUCAGCAGGGAAGAAACUGACGGUACCUGACUAAGAAGCACCGGCUAAAUACGUGCUAGCAGCCGCGGUAAUCUGAGCGGGCUGGCAAGGC